This 433-nucleotide long non-coding RNA is filed under the name Malus domestica (apple). RNAcentral describes it as "long non-coding RNA (MDOM_LNC017189)". Lineage: Eukaryota; Viridiplantae; Streptophyta; Magnoliopsida; Rosales; Rosaceae. The record is from RNAcentral.
UUUUGUAUGGGCCGCCGGGGACUGGGAAAUCCACCAUGAUCGCCGCCAUGGCCAAUCUUUUGGAGUAUGAUCUUUAUGACCUCGAGCUGACCGCGGUUAAGGACAACACCGAGCUGAGGAGGCUGCUGAUUGAGACGACAAGUAAGUCGAUUAUUGUGAUUGAGGACAUCGAUUGUUCGCUUGAUCUCACGGGGCAGAGGAAGCAGAGGAAGGAGAAAGGGGAGGAGCAGGGGGAAGGGAGGGAUCCGAAGGAGAAGAUGGGGAAGGAGGAUGGGGAGGCGAAACCGAGCCAGGUUACUCUUUCCGGGCUGCUGAAUUUCAUCGACGGGCUGUGGUCAGCGUGCCGCGGAGAGAGGCUCAUUGUGUUCACAACGAACUACGUGGAGAAGCUUGAUGCUGCAUUGAUCAGGAAAGGAAGGAUGGAUAAGCACAU